UACGGAGGAUGCAAGCGUUAUCCGGAUUUAUUGGGUUUAAAGGGUGCGUAGGCGGAUAUGUAAGUCAGCUGUGAAACUCACAGGCUCAACCUGUGCCGUGCCGUUGAAACUGUGUAUCUGGAAUGCGGAUGCUGUGGGAGGAAUGUGUAGUGUAGUGGUGAAAUGCAUAGAUAUUACACAGAACACCGAUUGCGAAGGCAUCUCACAAAGCCGUUAUUGACGCUGAGGCACGAAAGUGUGGGGAU
Molecule: ribosomal RNA, 245 nt
Filed under: uncultured prokaryote
Description: partial 16S ribosomal RNA
Rfam family: Bacterial small subunit ribosomal RNA
Source: RNAcentral